CGAAUGGCUCAUUAAAACAGUUAUAGUUUAUUUGAUGGUCUUUACUACAUGGAUAACCGUGGUAAUUCUAUGGCUAAUACAUGCGCACAUGCCUCUUCCCCUGGAAGGGCAGUGUUUAUUAGAUACAGAACCAACCCACCUUCCGGUGGUCCUCAGGUGAUUCAUAGUAACCGAACGGAUCGCGUUGACUUCGGUCUGCGACGGAUCAUUCAAGUUUCUGACCUAUCAGCUUUCGACGGUACUGUAUUGGACUACCGUGGCAGUGA
Molecule: ribosomal RNA, 266 nt
Filed under: Toxoplasma gondii
Lineage: Eukaryota; Apicomplexa; Conoidasida; Eucoccidiorida; Sarcocystidae
Description: partial small subunit ribosomal RNA
Rfam family: Eukaryotic small subunit ribosomal RNA
Source: RNAcentral